Molecule: long non-coding RNA, 2437 nt
Organism: Homo sapiens (human)
Lineage: Eukaryota; Metazoa; Chordata; Mammalia; Primates; Hominidae
Product: long intergenic non-protein coding RNA 917
Source: Ensembl
GACAGCCCCUCUGAUGAGGAGGCCACUGGGCUGAGACCAAUGAAUGAGAUGGAGCCAGCCACGUGGUGAGCCAGAAGAGGGCAUCACAGGGCUUGAGUCUGGGGGAGCCUGGCUGCCCAGAGGUGGCAGAUGACAUGAAGAAAUAACCAUGUAAGGGCUGGCUGUGUAUGAGAGCAAGCAUUGGGAAGGAUGAAUGCCAACUAUGUUCCAGGAACUUCCACUGUUCUCACACACCCAGGUGAGUGGUGUUCAGGUGGGUGGCACCCAGGUGAGUGACAUCCCAGUUGAGUGGCACCCAGGUGAGUAGCAUCCAGGUGAGUGACACCUAGGUGAGUGACAUUCAGGUUAGUGGCGUCUGUGUGAGUGGCAUCAUCCAGGUGAGUAGCUUCCAGGUGAGUGGCACCCAGGUGAGUGGCAUUCGGGUGAGUGGCAUUAUCCAGGUGACACCUGGGUGAGUGGCAUCCAGGUGAGUGAUAUCAUCCAGGUAAGUGGCACCUAGGUGACAUCCAGGUGAGUGACGACAUCCAGGUGAGUGACAUCAUCCAGGUAAAUGGCACCCAGGUGAGUAGCAUUCAGGUGAGUGACACCCAGGCGAGUGGCAUCCACGUGACUAGCAUUGUCCAGGUGCAUAACACCCAGGUGAGUGGCACCCAGUUGAGUGGUGCCCAAGUGAGUCACAUCCAGGUAAGUGGGGUCCAGGUGGUGGCACCCAGGCGAGUGGUGCCCAGGUGAGUGACAGCCAGGUGAAUGGUGUCCAGGUGAGUGGCAUCACCCAGGUGAAUGGUGUCCAGGUGAGUGGCAUCCAGGUAAGUGGUGUCCAGGUGGUGGCACCCAGGUGAGUGGUGUCCAGGUGAGGGGCAUCACCCAGGUGAAUGGUGUCCAGGUGAGUGGCAUCCAGGUGGGUGGUACCGUCGACGUGACAAUAGCUAAAAAUUAUUGGGCUCAUUGUGGACAGGCACUGUGCCGAGCUUGACAUCACUGAACUCAGUUCAUCCUCGCCAGGAGCUUGUGGGCCGUCCCUAGAUCAGAAUCCGAGGAGAAAGGACUUCCACACGGCAGCCAGCGAGCUGGAGGGCGGCCUCCUGCCACCACCAGGCUCCCUAACCCAGUCCUGGAUAUCUGUGAAAGAAUGAGUGGAUCCCCACAGGCCAGCUAUCCCCAAACACACUCGUUUACACUGAAGCACCAGGAGAUCAGAACCUUCUGGAAUCUUAAUAUGCGAGGACUCGGUGGAGAAGGCGGCACUGAAGAAGAGUCGUCCCUAGGCCAGGCUGGAGGGAAACUCAAGACGGCGGCCUGGCCCUCCUGGGUGGCGGAAGUGGGAGCAGCAGGAGCCCUGGCGGAUCCGGGAGGCCAGAAGAGCGGAAGCUUCCUCCCCUCUCAGGACAGCCACAAGGACUUUCGGGGGUCGUGGCAGCUGCUCCACUUCCAACUUCCAGAUCCCUCUCACUUUCCUCUUCCCACCAACUCCAACCUGGGACCAAGCAGGGGAAAGCAGCUGCAGCCCAGCUUGACGCCCCUGCAAAUGGAGACCUGUGCACCUGGUUGUGAGCAUUUUAAAGGGUGUCACACAGGGCAUACCCUUCGGUGCCUGGAUUCCUUUGGUUUACAUCCAGCAGGAGUUGGCCCUGAGCUCUGAGUCCAGAUCAUUGCUCUUGGCUGAAGCAGCCUGUCUACUCACAAAGAUGAGCAUGGUCCCUGCCACGAGGAAACUCGUGGUCCUGUGGACUGCGGUGUGGAGGGAAAGCUUGGGAUUCUGAGCCUGAUAAUGCACCAUUACAUCCCCACUCACUCGGGCUGUGUGAACCCAGCAAGUCACAGGAUCACUGGGUGGUGAAAGAAAGAAACACUCACAGAAGCGUCUGUGCUUGGAGAGCCAUCUGGUCCGUCAUUGUGACUGCUGCUCUCAUUGCUAUCAUGGGUGUCACCAUUGCCAUCACUCAAGGACUUCUCUCCAGGCCCCGAAGCCAAGCUGGUGCCUGGUUCCUCUGGGUUGGGAGAGGGGCUGGGCAUGGACAGGAGGAGGGAAAAGGGACCUGUGCUAGCAGGUGAUGCCAUCCAAGACAUCUGCAUCCUAAUCCCUGGAACCUGGGAUUCCACUAGGUGCCAUGGCAAAGAGGGAUUAAGGUGGCAGGUGGAGUGAAGGUUGCUAAUCAGCCGACCUUAAAGUAGGGAGAUGAUCCUGAAUGAGACAAAAGAGAGAACCAGUCAUGGUGUCAUGAGAAGGACUCAAAAUGCAACUGCUGACUUUGAAGAUUAAGGGGCUACAAACCAAGGAACGUGGUAGUCUCUGGAAAAGACAAGGAAUAGACGCUGCGUUGGGGCCACCAGAAGGAACCAGCCCUGUCAACACCCUAAUUUUAGCCCAGUGAGGCCUGUGCUGGACUUCUGACCUCCAGAACUGUAAACUAAUAAAUGUGUGUUGUUUCUGCCACUA